This 485-nucleotide ribosomal RNA is filed under the name uncultured Gammaproteobacteria bacterium. RNAcentral describes it as "bacterial SSU rRNA". It matches the Rfam family "Bacterial small subunit ribosomal RNA", at positions 30 to 508 of the family's 1533-position model. Lineage: Bacteria; Pseudomonadati; Pseudomonadota; Gammaproteobacteria. The record is from RNAcentral.
AUUGAACGCUGGCGGCAGGCCUAACACAUGCAAGUCGAGCGGUAGAGAGAAGCUUGCUUCUCUUGAGAGCGGCGGACGGGUGAGUAAUGCCUAGGAAUCUGCCUGGUAGUGGGGGAUAACGUUCGGAAACGAACGCUAAUACCGCAUACGUCCUACGGGAGAAAGCAGGGGACCUUCGGGCCUUGCGCUAUCAGAUGAGCCUAGGUCGGAUUAGCUAGUUGGUGAGGUAAUGGCUCACCAAGGCGACGAUCCGUAACUGGUCUGAGAGGAUGAUCAGUCACACUGGAACUGAGACACGGUCCAGACUCCUACGGGAGGCAGCAGUGGGGAAUAUUGGACAAUGGGCGAAAGCCUGAUCCAGCCAUGCCGCGUGUGUGAAGAAGGUCUUCGGAUUGUAAAGCACUUUAAGUUGGGAGGAAGGGCCAUUACCUAAUACGUGAUGGUUUUGACGUUACCGACAGAAUAAGCACCGGCUAACUCUGUGC